Molecule: long non-coding RNA, 571 nt
Organism: Brachypodium distachyon (stiff brome)
Lineage: Eukaryota; Viridiplantae; Streptophyta; Magnoliopsida; Poales; Poaceae
Exons: 3
Source: RefSeq, a predicted model, not a curated record
CAUGUAGAGCUAAUUUCGUGUUGCUAAGUUGGGGCAAUGGUGGUGGUUUGGAGGAGUUUGGAGGUGGUGGUGGUGCUCAUCCGAUGACUGUGAGGCGGCUCGAGGUUGGGGUUCACACGCUUCAAGGGUACAAAAUGGAGAGAGUAUCAUUGCUAUCUCCGGAGAUUGAGAGUAAGCAUCGGGCUGCUCGAUUAUCGGCGCAUCCUGGGAGUGUCGAGCCCCUUGUCACGCGCACUCUUAAGGAAAAUUAGAUGAUACACCCUGCCUGGAUUCAGCGUUUGAAGUGGGCUGGCCUUUUACCUUUCGCACGACUUGUUGAGGCAACUCGUGCGGAAAUGGUAGAGGGCGACCGACGAGGUUUCAACUCUACACGGCUACAAAUUGACCACUCGCUCCUGAGCUGCUUAGUGGACAGAUAGAGGCCCGAGACACACACGUUUCACUUUCGCUGGGGAGAGAUGGCUCCUACUCUCCAGGAUGUGUCGAUGCUGCUGGGACUACCAUUGGUGGGUGAUCCCAUAGGACCGUUGCAGGCACCAGCUGAUUGGCAGGAGGGUAUGGCACUACGCUU